RNAcentral lists this ribosomal RNA (376 nucleotides) under uncultured bacterium. Its description in RNAcentral is "bacterial SSU rRNA". It matches the Rfam family "Bacterial small subunit ribosomal RNA", at positions 524 to 898 of the family's 1533-position model. The record is from RNAcentral.
UACGUAGGGUGCAAGCGUUAAUCGGAAUUACUGGGCGUAAAGCGUGCGCAGGCGGUUUGCUAAGACAGUUGUGAAAUCCCCGGGCUUAACCUGGGAACUGCAAUUGUGACUGGCAGGCUAGAGUACGGCAGAGGGGGGUGGAAUUCCUGGUGUAGCAGUGUAAUGCGUAGAGAUCAGGAGGAACACCGAUGGCGAAGGCAGCCCCCUGGGCUAGUACUGACGCUCAUGCACGAAAGCGUGGGGAGCAAACAGGAUUAGAUACCCUGGUAGUCCACGCCCUAAACGAUGUCAAUUAGUUGUUGGUAGGGUUAAACCUAUUAGUAACGUAGCUAACGCGUUAAGUUGACCGCCUGGGGAGUACGGUCGCAAGAUUAAA